AACGAACGCUGGCGGCAUGCCUAACACAUGCAAGUCGAACGAGACCUUCGGGUCUAGUGGCGCACGGGUGCGUAACGCGUGGGAACCUGCCCUUAGGUUCGGAAUAACUCCCCGAAAGGGGUGCUAAUACCGGAUAAUGUCUUCGGACCAAAGAUUUAUCGCCUUUGGAUGGGCCCGCGUUGGAUUAGCUAGUUGGUAGGGUAAAAGCCCACCAAGGCGACGAUCCAUAGCUGGUCUGAGAGGAUGAUCAGCCACACUGGGACUGAGACACGGCCCAGACUCCUACGGGAGGCAGCAGUGGGGAAUAUUGGACAAGGGGCGAAAGCCUGAUCCAGCAAUGCCGCGUGAGUGAUGAAGGCCUUAGGGUUGUAAAGCUCUUUUACCCGGGAUGAUAAUGACAGUACCGGGAGAAUAAGCUCCGGCUAACUCCGUG
RNAcentral lists this ribosomal RNA (433 nucleotides) under uncultured bacterium. Its description in RNAcentral is "partial 16S ribosomal RNA". It matches the Rfam family "Bacterial small subunit ribosomal RNA", at positions 29 to 507 of the family's 1533-position model. The record is from RNAcentral.